RNAcentral lists this non-coding RNA (27 nucleotides) under Arabidopsis thaliana (thale cress). Lineage: Eukaryota; Viridiplantae; Streptophyta; Magnoliopsida; Brassicales; Brassicaceae. The record is from RNAcentral.
AAAAAAAGAGGGAUGCAACACGAGGAC